This 460-nucleotide ribosomal RNA is filed under the name uncultured bacterium. RNAcentral describes it as "partial 16S ribosomal RNA". It matches the Rfam family "Bacterial small subunit ribosomal RNA", at positions 338 to 795 of the family's 1533-position model. The record is from RNAcentral.
CCUACGGGUGGCAGCAGUGAGGAAUAUUGGUCAAUGGACGAGAGUCUGAACCAGCCAAGUAGCGUGAAGGAUGACUGCCCUAUGGGUUGUAAACUUCUUUUAUAUGGGAAUAAAAUGUUCCACGUGUGGGAUUUUGUAUGUACCAUAUGAAUAAGGAUCGGCUAACUCCGUGCCAGCAGCCGCGGUAAUACGGAGGAUCCGAGCGUUAUCCGGAUUUAUUGGGUUUAAAGGGAGCGUAGGUGGAUUGUUAAGUCAGUUGUGAAAGUUUGCGGCUCAACCGUAAAAUUGCAGUUGAAACUGGCAGUCUUGAGUACGGUAGAGGUGGGCGGAAUUCGUGGUGUAGCGGUGAAAUGCUUAGAUAUCACGAAGAACUCCGAUUGUGAAGGCAGUUCACUGGACUACAACUGACACUGAGGCUCGAAAGUGUGGGUAUCAAACAGGAUUAGAUACCCCUGUAGUC